Long non-coding RNA from Tympanuchus pallidicinctus (lesser prairie-chicken), 979 nucleotides. RefSeq lists it as uncharacterized. NCBI's taxonomy places the organism in Eukaryota, Metazoa, Chordata, Aves, Galliformes, Phasianidae. The record is from RefSeq and is a predicted model, not a curated record. The transcript has 4 exons.
CCUCUUCACUGUGGUGUUUUUUGUUUGUGUGUGUGUUUAUUUUGUUUUUGCUUUUCUUGAAUAAAGCAUCGAUUUUGAAUGGCUCACUAAGAUGGAAGAGGCAGCAGAAAAAAAUGCCCUCCAGUGCCAGAAAGCAUGCUAGCAACUGAGUGAUCUCAGAUGACUGCUCUGAUACAUGCACCAAUGAGCAGGCAGAUCUUGCUACAAAGCAAAAUUCAGAGGAUGGAUGCAGCAGCUUACAAAGAAGCUCGGUGGGUGAUUGGCUUGGGUGGAUGAAAAGCAGCAUCUCUGUGUUUGGCUGGCUGAAGGAGGGCUCUCACAUCCCUCACACCCAAGUGCAAAGAAAAAGGCAUGGUAUCUCAGCAGAGAGCUCCUGCGAUAAGUCGGAUCCAUUCCUAUCCAGAAGCUAGGGGCCAGCUGCAGGCAAGAGGAGAUGCUCAUGCAGAGCUCACAGCAGGAUAGAGGCCAAAAUGACCUUGCUGGGGAGUGACGAAAUUCUCAGAUGUAUACAGCACUGCAGAAAGCACCAGGAGGAGUUGAGCUCACUGAUCCUUGUGAGUCUCUUCCAACUUGGGAUGUUCUGUGAUUCUACGAUUCUUCAUGUCACUUCAGAGCGUACUGAAAAGCAAAGAAGAAAAACUGCAAACGUGUACUCUGUUAAUGAAAUCAAGCAGGAUCCUGAGGAUAUCUUAUAUGCAUUGAGAUCACUUGGUUUCUGCUGCUGGCAGGCAGAUUCAGCAGGAACACAAGCAUACCAGGCAGCUCAGGUGGAGCUCUUCAACUCACCUGGGGAUAAAUCAGAGUUGAGGCUGUAGCUCCCUGGAUUCAGAGGGAACACUGCAGCCAUUGUUUUGUAACCCUUCUCUGCUCUGUCUCUGCGCUGGGAUAUUUGGCAAAGAAAAGAUUCUUCCAGAAGUCUGCCCUGCUCCCUCCACUUCCACCUGAGCUGGUGGCUGGCAAGGGCAGCCUUGGCACAGAU